This 1452-nucleotide ribosomal RNA is filed under the name Diorygopyx incomptus. RNAcentral's name for it is "partial 16S ribosomal RNA". The record is from RNAcentral. Lineage: Eukaryota; Metazoa; Arthropoda; Insecta; Coleoptera; Scarabaeidae.
AAAUUUGGCGGUAUUUUAGUCUUUUUAGAGGAACCUGUUCUAUAAUUGAUAUUCCACGUUUAAUUUUACUUAAUUUAUAUUAGUUUGUAUAUCGUCGUAGUUUGAAUAUCUUUUAAAAGUAUAAAUAUUCAUAAUUUAUAAUUUAUAAAUUAAAUCAGAUCAAGAUACAGUUUAUAAUUAAGAAGAGAUGGGUUACAAUAAAAUUAUUUAAAUGGUUAUAUUAAUUAAAAUUUUUAUAUAAAGUGGAUUUGAAAGUAAUUUAUUUUAGUUAAAAUAAAUGAUUUAAGCUCUAAAAUAUGUACAUAUCGCCCGUCACUUUCAUUUAAAUUUAAGAUGAAAUAAGUCGUAACAUAGUAGAUGUACCGGAAGGUGAAUCUAGUUAGUUUACAAGUUAAAGCUUUUGAAAGUAUCUUAUUUACAUUAAGAAGAUAAAUUGUGUAAAUCAAUUUAAUUUGAAUUUAAUAAUUUAUUUUUUAUAUUAUAAAUUUAAAUUAAUUAAAAAAAAUAUUUUUAUAUUUAUUUAUUAUUUAAGAUAAAAUUAUUAUAAUUAUAGUUUAAAGUAAAGUGAUUGAAUAUUGAAAUAAUUUGAGAUAUUUAAAUAUUUUAAAGAAAAAUUUAAUUUUUGUACCUUGUGUAUCAGGGUUUAUUAAAUAGAAAUUAUUUAACUUAAUUUUCUCGAAUUUAAAAGAGUUAAAAAAUUAUAAAUUUUAUUGUGAAAUAAAUAUUUAAAAUAAUUUUUUAGUAAUGAAAUGUUAGUCGUUUUUAAGUAUAUCUAGUUUUUUAAGAAAUAAAUUUAAUUUAGUUAAUUAUUAUAAAUAAGAUAAUUUAAUAUUUUAUAUUAAUAUAAUUAAUUAAUAUUUUAAGGGAUAAGCUUUAAAAUAAAAAAUUUAUAAAUUUAUAAUUAAUUAGUUAAAGUUAAGUAGAAUUAGAAGUUUUUUUCAUUAAUAGUGUGUUAUAACAAAUUUUUGUAUUUAAUUAAAUUUUUAUAUAAUUUUAAAUUUUUUAUUAAAAUUAUUUAUUAAAUAAUAUAAUUUAUAUAAUAAUGAUAGAAUUAGUAUAAUUUUAAUGUAAAUUUAAUUUAUUAUUUAAGGUUAAAUUAAGGAAUUCAGCAAAUAUUUUUUUCGCCUGUUUAUUAAAAACAUGUCUUUUUGAUUAUAAUUUAAAGUCUAACCUGCCCUAUGAUUUAUUUAAAUGGCCGCGGUAUUUUAACCGUGCAAAGGUAGCAUAAUAAUUAGUUUUUUAAUUGAGAACUGGUAUGAAUGGUUGGACGAGAAAAAUUCUGUCUCAAUUUAAUUUAAAUUAGAAUUUUAUUUUUAAGUAAAAAAGCUUAAAUAAAUUUAGAAGACGAGAAGACCCUAUAGAGUUUUAUAUUAAUUAUUUUAUUUAAAAUAUUAAGUAUUUUUAUUUAAUUAGAGUAUAAUUAGUAUUUAAUUAAUCCCAUGAAAAAUUAAA